This 24-nucleotide non-coding RNA is filed under the name Arabidopsis thaliana (thale cress). The record is from RNAcentral. Lineage: Eukaryota; Viridiplantae; Streptophyta; Magnoliopsida; Brassicales; Brassicaceae.
ACUCAGGAUCACGUGUGGAGGUGU